Molecule: long non-coding RNA, 278 nt
Filed under: Polistes fuscatus (common paper wasp)
Lineage: Eukaryota; Metazoa; Arthropoda; Insecta; Hymenoptera; Vespidae
Description: uncharacterized LOC122523046
Source: RNAcentral
GUGGGCAAUGUUCACAGUAGGGGAGCGUAGGACGUAGUCGACGAUGUGUUUCGUAUUUUGAUAUAUCAUUCGUGUAUGUGUUUCUCAAAUAGAUAUCGUGGAUAAAGAAAUUAACAUUAAGUUUGGUGCUAUUAAAUAACAGGUAUCUCAUCGUAUCUACUAAUAUUUAACUCAGACAAAUCAUUCCCGAAGGUUCUAAAGAUUAACCGAGACUCAACGUUUCUUACCAUAUUUGAAAUUGUCCUUGCAAAGAGAAAAAAGAAAAAUAAUAAUAAUAA